AGGCUGCCAGUCUGUUGCGAUGUGUUAAGCAAUGUAUUCAUAUUUAAUUGAAAAAUUAAUCAAUGAUUUUCAAUACAUUUAUGAUGCGUUUUUGAUUACUGAUUCCAAGAUGGCGUUGUGGUGUUUAUAGAAAUCCUGUUUGGGGUUUUAAAUGUUAUUUCUGUUUCCUGUUUGAGCAGCUCUGCAGUCAAUGUCCAGGUGGGUCAGUGGGAGCAGAAGCCCUCUACUAAUGUACAGGCUCUGAUCAGCAACAUCCAGCAAGACCCAUACAGCCUCUACCUGCUGGAGCUUUUUGUUUGCCUGUGACUGGAGAGUCAGAUUUCUAUUCGGGGGUUGCAGCUCCCUGUGCUGGAGAAACCACUUCACACCUGCAGAGGUGAUAUGAUUGUGAGGAAGCAAAGCUCAGGAAGAAGGAAUCCCUGCAGUCCUGUUCUUUCAGCUCCAAGCCUGCUCAGAGAAAGCAGCAGACAGUUUGAGGGGUUUGGGCUCACAGAUGGUGACAGCAUGGAGAGACUGUGGUCCUUCCCCUGAAGAACUGCAGGAGUCACAGAGGAGAUGACUCCAUCUCACUGUCUGGACUUGCUGACUGAUGUUCUUCUGCACUGCAGAUGCUGAUUGUGACCUCAGAGGACAGCUGGUCUGCAGAGUUACAAGUGAAUCAAGGCAGAGGUCAGUCUGCCUGCAGCUUCAAAGAAAGCAUCCAGACUCAGAUGGGCAGGAUCUCAGCAUCAGACUGUCCAAACAGGCUCCAGCUUCAACAGCAGACUGAGACAGAAACAAGAGAAAACAGCAGCUUCAGUGGGCUCCACAGGUCAAAGGUGACAUUUCAAGGGGUCUUCAAAGAAGAAGGGACUGAUGUCAUGCAUCAAUCACAGCGAUUAUGAAGAUGACAACGAGAGCAGCUACAACUGUAAAAGUCUGACCACGACUGUUUUGCUGCUUCCUGAUUAUUAAUGAAUGUUUGUGUCUUUUGUCAUUAAUUCUUUUGCCGUCAUUUGUUACAAAAAAAAUUCACCAAACUCAGUUUGUGUUAUUUAAUUUUUACAGGCUACACUCACUGCACACAAGAAAACAUUCAUUUUAACCACUGAUGACUCAGUGACUUUAUAAAAGCUUUUAGUAGUCCAGCCUUUGACUAUUAACACUUACCAUAUUGUACCUGUACAGCAUGGUUUUGUACAUGUAUGAAAUUUCUUUAAUGUUGAAGUCAUUUCCUGAUUUAGUUUGUAAUCUUUGUUGGUUUUCUCUACUUUGAAACUGAUUGUGAGUCAGUGUGUAACCUCACCUGCUUCCCUUUGUUCCACAUGACUUUAAGUUUUUUGAUUUCUGUUUAUUUAAAUUUCCAUUUCAUUUUGAUCUGUGUUGUGUGACCCUUGCAGACUGGUUUGUGGACUGCUUG
This is a long non-coding RNA of Archocentrus centrarchus (flier cichlid), 1399 nucleotides long. RefSeq lists it as uncharacterized. The record is from RefSeq and is a predicted model, not a curated record. The transcript is spliced from 6 exons. Lineage: Eukaryota; Metazoa; Chordata; Actinopteri; Cichliformes; Cichlidae.